Long non-coding RNA from Vespa mandarinia (Asian giant hornet), 561 nucleotides. The record is from RefSeq and is a predicted model, not a curated record. NCBI's taxonomy places the organism in Eukaryota, Metazoa, Arthropoda, Insecta, Hymenoptera, Vespidae.
CGGAAAAGUAAUCGAAAGAUAUUGUAUAGGGAUAUAUAUCGGAAAAACUCGCCGAGGGAUCUCGACUUUUAGAAAUUAUCGAUUAAAAGAAACAUUUAACAUGUCUAAUAUCGUGACAUUCGAAAAUAUGUGCAAAAGUCUCGCUAGAAGGAAGAGCAAAUGACAGAGAAGAUGAAGGAGAAAAUGAAAAAAGAAAGAAAAAAGAAAAAAAAAAGAAAAAAAAAUGGAAGAAGAAGAGGAGGAGAAGAAGCUGGAGAUGAUGAAGAAAAGAUUCCUCCAGAUCGGACACCCCUUAUCGUCGUGCACGCAUUACGAGCGGCGAUAACUGGUAAUCGGGUCGGUACAAGGAUGCAUUGUACGUGCCGUUAGAUUUACAACGUUCGCCUUUGACGUUUUUAUCUGCGACCGGCGAAAGAACGGCGUCUAUCGACGAUAGAGUUGAAACGAAGUAACGUGCUAGCUUCGGUUCAUCUAACUAUAUAUUUAUAUAUAUAUAUAUAUAUUAUUAUUAUUAUUAUUAUUUUUUCUUUUCUUUUUUUAAUUUCUCUUUUCACUUAUCUA